GUUGUAUGUAUCUGAUCUCUACUGUAGUAGGGAUGGAAGGUUAGACAGGUUGUAUGUAUCUGAUCACUACUGUAGUAGGGUUGGAAGGUUAGACAGGUAUCUGAUCUCUACUGUAGUAGGGUUGGAAGGUUAGACAGGUAUCUGAUCUCUACUGUAGUAGGGUUGGAAGGUUAGACAGGUUGUAUGUAUCUGAUCUCUACUGUAGUAGGGUUGGAAGGUUAGACAGGUAUCUGAUCUCUACUGUAGUAGGGUUGGAAGGUUAGACAGGUAUCUGAUCUCUACUGUAGUAGGGUUGGAAGGUUAGACAGGUUGUAUGUAUCUGAUCUCUACUGUAGUAGGGAUGGAAGGUUAGACAGGUAUCUGAUCACUACUGUAGUAGGGUUGGAAGGUUAGACAGGUUGUAUGUAUCUGAUCUCUACUGUAGUAGGGUUGGAAGGUUAGACAGGUUGUAUGUAUCUGAUCUCUACUGUAGUAGGGUUGGAAGGUUAGACAGGUUGUAUGUAUCUGAUCUCUACUGUAGUAGGGUUGGAAGGUUAGACAGGUUGUAUGUAUCUGAUCUCUACUGUAGUAGGGUUGGAAGGUUAGACAGGUAUCUGAUCUCUACUGUAGUAGGGAUGGAAGGUUAGACAGGUAUCUGAUCUCUACUGUAGUAGGGUUGGAAGGUUAGACAGGUGGUAUGUAUCUGAUCUCUACUGUAGUAGGGUUGGAAGGUUAGACAGGUG
This 722-nucleotide long non-coding RNA is filed under the name Salmo salar (Atlantic salmon). RNAcentral describes it as "lncRNA (ENSSSAG00000116117.1)". Lineage: Eukaryota; Metazoa; Chordata; Actinopteri; Salmoniformes; Salmonidae. The record is from RNAcentral.